RNAcentral lists this transfer RNA (72 nucleotides) under Gordonia phage Forza. RNAcentral's name for it is "tRNA-Trp". It matches the Rfam family "tRNA". From Rfam's summary of the family: Transfer RNA (tRNA) molecules are approximately 80 nucleotides in length. Their secondary structure includes four short double-helical elements and three loops (D, anti-codon, and T loops). RNAcentral also lists the same sequence under 4 other names. Lineage: Duplodnaviria; Heunggongvirae; Uroviricota; Caudoviricetes. The record is from RNAcentral.
GGGGACGUAGUUCAAUGGGAGAACGGUGGUCUCCAAAGCCACAUAUCGGGGUUCGAUUCCUCGCGUCCUUGC